CCCUCUCCCUCUCCCUCUCCCCACGGUCUCCCUCUCCCUCUCUUUCCAUGGUCUCCCUCUGAUGCCGAGCCGAAGCUGGACUGUACUGCUGCCAUCUCGGCUCACUGCAACCUCCCUGCCUGAUUCUCCUGCCUCAGCCUGCCGAGUGCCUGCGAUUGCAGGCGCGCGCCGCCACGCCUGACUGGUUUUCGUAUUUUUUUGGUGGAGACGGGGUUUCGCU
Molecule: long non-coding RNA, 220 nt
Filed under: Homo sapiens (human)
Lineage: Eukaryota; Metazoa; Chordata; Mammalia; Primates; Hominidae
Description: lncAB409.1
Source: RNAcentral